AGGGGAAAGAUUUAUCGCUAUAGGAUGGGCCCGCGUUGGAUUAGCUAGUUGGUGAGGUAAUGGCUCACCAAGGCGACGAUCCAUAGCUGGUCUGAGAGGACGACCAGCCACACUGGGACUGAGACACGGCCCAGACUCCUACGGGAGGCAGCAGUGGGGAAUAUUGGACAAUGGGCGCAAGCCUGAUCCAGCCAUGCCGCGUGAGUGAUGAAGGCCUUAGGGUUGUAAAGCUCUUUUGGCGGGGACGAUAAUGACGGUACCCGCAGAAUAAGUCCCGGCUAACUUCGUGCCAGCAGCCGCGGUAAUACGAAGGGGACUAGCGUUGUUCGGAAUCACUGGCGUAAAGCGCACGUAGGCGGAUUUGUAAGUCARGGGUGAAAUCCCGGGGCUCAACCUCGGAACUGSCYUUGAUACUGCGAAUCUCGAGUYCGAUAGARGUG
RNAcentral lists this ribosomal RNA (440 nucleotides) under uncultured bacterium. Its description in RNAcentral is "bacterial SSU rRNA". It matches the Rfam family "Bacterial small subunit ribosomal RNA", at positions 198 to 659 of the family's 1533-position model. The record is from RNAcentral.